Molecule: long non-coding RNA, 608 nt
Organism: Stegostoma tigrinum
Lineage: Eukaryota; Metazoa; Chordata; Chondrichthyes; Orectolobiformes; Stegostomatidae
Exons: 2
Source: RefSeq, a predicted model, not a curated record
UUGUAGAGUCUCGGGUUCAGCCGCCUUGCUGAUAUAUCUGGUCACUGCUUUCCUUCCCGGCUGCCCCUCUGGUCCUCGUCACUUCCUAUGCUGCUCCCGCUCCUUCUCUGAAAGAGGAAAAAAAACACCGGUAAGUAAUUUUAAAAAUAAACUGCUUUACCUUAGCUGCAGUCUUCCGGAUCCGUUUUGCUUCCGCUGCUGCUCGCACUCAAAAUGGCCGUUGGUGUCGAAGGGUGAGUAUUUAUACUCACUGCUUUCCUUCCCGGCUGCCCCUCUGGUCCUCGUCACUUCCUCUGGUGCUCCCGCUCCUUCUCUGAAAGAGGAAAAAAACACCGCUGCCCGCUUCCGUAAUAUGGACACACAUGCAAACAAUACUUUUGGGAGGGGAUGAAGCAAAUAUUGACAGCCAUUGCUAUGACUUCAACUGAUGAAAGGCUUUAGAUAAAUACAAAAAAGCAAGCUGAAGAUAUACCGCUGUCAAACUGGUCUGAGGCUCUGACUGAUGCUUGCCAUUGUUGUUGUCAGAAAGUAUCUGUUCAGUUGUGAUGAUCAGAUAUGCAAUUACAUAAUGCUUUUUGAAUCAUGGAAAUAAAAAUUGCUGGAAAGUA